RNAcentral lists this long non-coding RNA (899 nucleotides) under Lotus japonicus. RNAcentral describes it as "long non-coding RNA (LJAP_LNC001027)". The record is from RNAcentral. Lineage: Eukaryota; Viridiplantae; Streptophyta; Magnoliopsida; Fabales; Fabaceae.
AUACUCAUCAAUUUGUUUCCUACGACCUGGAUCACGCACAACCUCAUUUGGAUUAAACUCAUUGGCAACAUUAGGCGGUGGCACUACUUCGGGUUCCGGUUGCACAACAUUCACAUUCUCAAUACUUUCUUUAUUAACCAAAAACCUCCUCAUCUCUGAAAUUGAAUGAUCUAAAGUUAAUAAUGAAACUUAAUGAUCUUCAAUGGUCACAUAAUGAUAUACAUUUACAUCAAGAAAAAACAAAUAGAUACAAGAAUAAAAUCCACAACACAGCAACUUUAACCAACACACAGUAUACCAACAAAACCAAAAUAAGGCCAAAACCAACCAGCUUAGAGGUAAAUUACGCAUGCCAAAAUGCAUUGAAAAGGCAUAAUAAAAUACCCUGUAGAAGACCACUUGUCCACUUCAAAUGCUUGAAUUUUUUCUCAAGCAUAGGGUGUUGUACGAAAUGCACUAAAAUCCAGAGAUAGGUAAAUUGCAAUAGGAACAUAGUAUAUUGAAAUUGGAUAGAACAACAACAAAAAAACACAAAAAUCAGCAUCAUCAUUCACCAAUGAAACACAGUAAAUGAAUUACAAUACCCAAUUAAGAAUAAAGCUGAAAAUUUCCUUAUCAUAUAAAGCAAGUGAAAUAGAACUAGGAAGAGAAAAAUCCAGAAAGAGGGGAAGCAGCAUAAUCAACAGAGGAGACAAAUUUAGAGAGAGGGGAAGAAGCAAAAUCAACAUACCUAAUAGAACAACUGAACAAGAGAGAGAGAGAGAGGAAGAAGCAGGCAAAAUUGCACAAACUGGGGAAGAUUCAAGCUGAUCGUGAGCAUGAGCGUGAGCGUAAGCGGUGAGCGUGAGCGGUGAGGGUGAGCGUGAACUGUUUUUCUGUUGUGUGCAAGGACAAGGCAG